Molecule: ribosomal RNA, 467 nt
Filed under: uncultured bacterium
Lineage: Bacteria
Description: partial 16S ribosomal RNA
Rfam family: Bacterial small subunit ribosomal RNA
Source: RNAcentral
GACGAACGCUGGCGGCGUGCUUAACACAUGCAAGUCGAACGGAAAGGCCCUGCUUUUGUGGGGUGCUCGAGUGGCGAACGGGUGAGUAACACGUGAGUAACCUGCCCUUGACUUUGGGAUAACUUCAGGAAACUGGGGCUAAUACCGGAUAGGAGCUCCUGCUGCAUGGUGGGGGUUGGAAAGUUUCGGCGGUUGGGGAUGGACUCGCGGCUUAUCAGCUUGUUGGUGGGGUAGUGGCUUACCAAGGCUUUGACGGGUAGCCGGCCUGAGAGGGUGACCGGCCACCUGGGGACGACGAUCCGGCCCAGGCCCCUAGGGGAGGCAACGGGGGGGAAUAUUGAACAGGGGGGGAGAGCCUGAUGCGCAAACCCCGGGGGCGGGAUGGCGGCCUUGGGGUUUAAACCCGAUUUCGCCUGGAACGAAGGGGGAGUGACGGUAAUGGGUAAAGAAGCCCCGGCUAAAUACGG